RNAcentral lists this ribosomal RNA (427 nucleotides) under uncultured bacterium. RNAcentral describes it as "partial 16S ribosomal RNA". It matches the Rfam family "Bacterial small subunit ribosomal RNA", at positions 355 to 774 of the family's 1533-position model. The record is from RNAcentral.
UGGGGAAUAUUGCACAAUGGGCGCAAGCCUGAUGCAGCCAUGCCGCGUGUAUGAAGAAGGCCUUCGGGUUGUAAAGUACUUUCAGCGAGGAGGAAGGCGUUGUGGUUAAUAACCGCAACGAUUGACGUUACUCGCAGAAGAAGCACCGGCUAACUCCGUGCCAGCAGCCGCGGUAAUACGGAGGGUGCAAGCGUUAAGCGGAAUUACUGGGCGUAAAGCGCACGCAGGCGGUCUGUCAAGUCGGAUGUGAAAUCCCCGGGCUCAACCUGGGAACUGCAUCCGAAACUGGCAGGCUAGAGUCUUGUAGAGGGGGGUAGAAUUCCAGGUGUAGCGGUGAAAUGCGUAGAGAUCUGGAGGAAUACCGGUGGCGAAGGCGGCCCCCUGGACAAAGACUGACGCUCAGGUGCGAAAGCGUGGGGAGCAAACA